CCUACGGGAGGCAGCAGUAGGGAAUCUUUCACAAUGGGCGAAAGCCUGAUGGAGCAACGCCGCGUGCAGGAUGAAGGCCUUCGGGUUGUAAACUGCUUUUAUAAGCGAGAAAUAUGAUGGUAACUUAUGAAUAAGGAUCGGCUAACUACGUGCCAUCAGCCGCGGUCAUACGUAGGAUCCGAGCAUUAUCCGGAGUGACUGUGUGUAAAGAGUUGCGUAGGUGGCAUAAUAAGUAGCUAGUGAAAUCUGGUGGCUCAACCAUUCAGACUAUUAGCUAAACUGUUAAGCUCGAGACCGUUAGGGGUAACUGGAAUUUCUAGUGUAGGAGUGAAAUCCGUAGAUAUUAGAAGGAACACCAAUAGCGUAGGCAGGUUGCUGGGACGGUUCUGACACUAAGGCACGAAAGCGUAGGGAGCAAACGGGAUUAGAUACCCGUGUAGUC
This 442-nucleotide ribosomal RNA is filed under the name uncultured bacterium. RNAcentral's name for it is "partial 16S ribosomal RNA". It matches the Rfam family "Bacterial small subunit ribosomal RNA", at positions 338 to 795 of the family's 1533-position model. The record is from RNAcentral.